UCACACAAGAAGUCUGGAGAUGAUAAAGGCAGGUAUUAGUUUUCUACUGCUGCUAGAACAAAUUACCACAGACUCAGUGGAUUAAAACAAAUCAAGUUUAUUUUAUAGUUAAGUAAGACUAAGUCCAGUGUAGGUCUCAUCAGGUUAAAAUAAAGGUGGCAUUUGAACUGUGUUCCUGUCUCAGGCUCUGGGGGAGGAUCUCUUCACUUGUUGGCAAAAUUUACUUGCAGACUGAGCACUAACAUCCUAUUUCCUUUCUAGCUGUUUGCUGAAUGCUGCUCCCAGGUUCUAGAAGUUACCAGCAUUCCUUGAGUCAUAACACCUUUCCUCCAUCUUGAAAGCCAGGGAAAACAGGCUGAAUCCCUCUGAAAUUUUUCCUGUCUCCUCUCUGACCCAUUCUGCCUUCCUCUUACAUUUCUAAGAGCUCAUAUCUCGAAACUGCGCUCACGCAGAUUUAAGAAGUGAUAGAUGGAAUGGAGAUAAGAAGUGGAAAUUAGUGUCCUUUUGGAGAUACUUGCUUUUGCUGAGCCCAUAGACAUAUUAACUCCUCCAAGGUAUAAAUACUCAAGAAGCAAUUCACAAAGUGUGAUCCGAAAACUUCUGGGAGUCCUUAAGAGCAUUUCAAGGUGUCAGCAGGUCCUCUUUUCCACCUACAUAUCUGUGAGGUCAUAUUAUCUUCAUAUUCUUCAACCAAAACAACAAAAACUGCAGAAGACUAAAUGCAGAAGCAGGAACUUGUAUUUAAGGCCAGAAAAUACAGAAACAGAUCAACUUAAGAAGAUGAACAAGCAACACGUGUUUGGGUAUAAAAUUAUAUCGGAAAAUUAAGUAAGCUUGUUAUGAAUUUGUCAAAUUGACACAUAUUAACUGGAGCACGGGGUGCUGGAUGGUGAACCAAGGCUCAACAACAGACCACAAGAAGAACUGAAGAGAAAUUUGUUACAGGUCCUGGAGGAAGUACUGGACACACCUCAAGGGACUACACAGGAGAUGAAGGCAGAGUGAAGACGCAGAGGCAGGACCUGGGCACAUGCCUUUAUUAAGGUACCAAGCAAGAAGGAAAGACAAGGAAGUAAAAAGAACUCUAAAAACCACCAACAAUUUUAAUUUGGAUAUCUUCAAUGUAAUUAACACAGGAUGCCUAUUCCAGAUAUAAACAGAGAGAUGAUUGCCUGACCAAAGUUCUGGAAAGCAGAUGUGUUGCUCGAAGGGUACAAAAUGUGGAUGUGUAUUGUGCUACCAGGCUGUCAAAGAUGAAGAGAUCAAUCAAUAGAACUCCAAACCGAGUGCAUUCUCUGUGUGGCAGAAGAAAAUUACAUACAAAAGGAGUUAGGGAAUUGUUGUAAAAGCACAGGAAUGAGAUUAGUAUCUAAUCUAUUACGGCUGUGAGACUUUUAAAAACAUAUUAGGGAAAUACAAAGGCAUAAUCAGAUGACUAAAGAUAAUGACAUACAAUUUUCAAGGGAGUUAAACACAUGAAACUCUUGGAAGAGAAAAAAUAAUAAUAAAGAGCUCCUUAUUUAA
This is a long non-coding RNA of Felis catus (domestic cat), 1524 nucleotides long. RefSeq lists it as uncharacterized. The record is from RefSeq and is a predicted model, not a curated record. Lineage: Eukaryota; Metazoa; Chordata; Mammalia; Carnivora; Felidae. The transcript is spliced from 6 exons.